AGCCGACUCCUUCCUUUGUCCUAGGUUCCCUCUUGUUGCUGGAUCCGAACCCUAACUCCUCUGGGUUGGGUUGUGGUCAGCCUACCCGACUGCUUCUCCGGAUCUUGGCAGUAAGUUCUAUAGGAUUUGAGCAGUGUUGAGGCAUCAGGGAAUAUGGGUAAGACAUUGUUGGAGAAAGCCCUAAUCGCUGUGAUCUUCCUUU
Zingiber officinale is the source of this 202-nucleotide long non-coding RNA. RefSeq lists it as uncharacterized. Lineage: Eukaryota; Viridiplantae; Streptophyta; Magnoliopsida; Zingiberales; Zingiberaceae. The record is from RefSeq and is a predicted model, not a curated record. The transcript has 3 exons.